This is a long non-coding RNA of Corticium candelabrum, 372 nucleotides long. RefSeq lists it as uncharacterized. The record is from RefSeq and is a predicted model, not a curated record. Lineage: Eukaryota; Metazoa; Porifera; Homoscleromorpha; Homosclerophorida; Plakinidae. The transcript is spliced from 3 exons.
UCUGUUGCGACAAUGUUGCGAUAUGGAAUGGUAUAUUAAACGUUGCUGGUAUACAGUUUGAGAGUCUGUGUGAGAAGAUUGAACAUUUGUACCGCAUUCCAAGCUUUAUUCUUUUGGAAAAGGAUGUCUUUUAUGAUGCGAUGUGUGAAGAAUAUUGGAAGGUGGAUCAGGGAAUGACAUGUCAAAGUACUCUCUAGCAAAAUCUAGCGACUGCUGUGACAUUUCUUACCAGAUUUAUGAUGUUUAUUUACCAGUUUACAAUGCUGUAUACGCAUAACUCAAUCUUAACCAGAUAUAGUCGUUACCAGUUGGAUAUAAUAGUGUACGUUCUAGAUGUUGAAGAAAGUAACAUGAUAAUGUUUUGUGCUUGUA